GAUGAAGAACGUAGCGAAAUGCGAUAAGUAGUGUGAAUUGCAGAAUUCAGUGAAUCAUCGAAUCUUUGAACGCACAUUGCGCCCCUUGGUAUUCCAUGGGGCAUGCCUGUUCGAGCGUCAUUUGUACCUUCAAGCUUUGCUUGGUGUUGGGUGUUUGUCCAUUCUCUUGCAGAGGGACUCGCCUUAAAGUAAUUGGCAGCCAGUGUUUUGGUUUUGAAGCGCAGCACAAGUCGCGAUUCAAAGCUAUACGCCCGCUUCCACAAGCCUUCUUCACUUUUGACCUCGGAUCAGGUAGGGAUACCCGCUGAACUUAAGCAUAUCAAUAAGCGGAGGA
RNAcentral lists this unclassified non-coding RNA (334 nucleotides) under soil metagenome. Its description in RNAcentral is "partial contains 5.8S ribosomal RNA, internal transcribed spacer 2, and large subunit ribosomal RNA". The stretch from base 1 to 120 matches the Rfam family "5.8S ribosomal RNA", at positions 35 to 154 of the family's 154-position model. The record is from RNAcentral.